RNAcentral lists this long non-coding RNA (266 nucleotides) under Solanum tuberosum (potato). Its description in RNAcentral is "long non-coding RNA (STUB_LNC000023)". The record is from RNAcentral. Lineage: Eukaryota; Viridiplantae; Streptophyta; Magnoliopsida; Solanales; Solanaceae.
CUAACCCGAAUUUUAGAACAACCGUAUCAAAAUUCGAAAAUCGCAAAAAAAUGCGAUUUUGAGGGUCAACUUUAAAGGGGCAUAUCUCUCAGCACACAAGGAACUGGAAGGAGCUCAAACUAUCAAAAUUAAAGCUCUGUGAGUUAGCUUUCCAACGCAAUUUGUUUCGCCUCAUUCGGAGUUCGGACGAAGAAGUUAUGCCCAUUUUCGUAAAGUCUGUCCAGACGGAAAUGCAAUUUCCAGAAUCUAAAAUUACUGUUCACCCG